GAUGAACGCUGGCGGCGUGCCUAAUACAUGCAAGUCGAGCGAACAGACGAGGAGCUUGCUCCUCUAACGUUAGCGGCGGACGGGUGAGUAACACGUGGAUAACCUACCUAUAAGACUGGGAUAACUUCGGGAAACCGGAGCUAAUACCGGAUAAUAUAUUGAACCGCAUGGUUCAAUAGUGAAAGACGGUUUUGCUGUCCCUUAUAGAUGGAUCCGCGCCGCAUUAGCUAGUUGGUAAGGUAACAGCUUACCAAGGCAACGAUGCGUAGCCGACCUGAGAGGGUGAUCGGCCACACUGGAACUGAGACACGGUCCAGACUCCUACGGGAGGCAGCAGUAGGGAAUCUUCCGCAAUGGGCGAAAGCCUGACGGAGCAACGCCGCGUGAGUGAUGAAGGUCUUCGGAUCGUAAAACUCUGUUAUUAGGGAAGAACAAAUGUGUAAGUAACUAUGCACGUCUUGACGGUACCUAAUCAGAAAGCCACGGCUAACUACGUG
Molecule: ribosomal RNA, 497 nt
Filed under: uncultured bacterium
Lineage: Bacteria
Description: partial 16S ribosomal RNA
Rfam family: Bacterial small subunit ribosomal RNA
Source: RNAcentral